CCUACGGGCGGCUGCAGUGGGGAAUAUUGCACAAUGGGGGAAACCCUGAUGCAGCGACGCCGCGUGAGUGAAGAAGUAAUUCGUUAUGUAAAGCUCUAUCAGCAGGGAAGAAAAUGACGGUACCUGAGUAAGAAGCCCCGGCUAACUACGUGCCAGCAGCCGCGGUAAUACGUAGGGGGCAAGCGUUAUCCGGAUUUACUGGGUGUAAAGGGAGCGUAGACGGCAGUGCAAGUCUGGAGUGAAAGGCGGGGGCUCAACCCCCGGACUGCUCUGGAAACUGUACGGCUGGAGUGCGGGAGAGGUAGGUGGAAUUCCUAGUGUAGCGGUGAAAUGCGUAGAUAUUAGGAGGAACACCAAUGGCGAAGGCAGCUUACUGGACUGUAACUGACAUUGAGGCUCGAAAGCGUGGGGAGCAAACAGGAUUAGAUACCCCGGUAGUC
RNAcentral lists this ribosomal RNA (440 nucleotides) under uncultured bacterium. RNAcentral's name for it is "partial 16S ribosomal RNA". It matches the Rfam family "Bacterial small subunit ribosomal RNA", at positions 338 to 795 of the family's 1533-position model. The record is from RNAcentral.